RNAcentral lists this ribosomal RNA (278 nucleotides) under uncultured bacterium. RNAcentral describes it as "partial 16S ribosomal RNA". It matches the Rfam family "Bacterial small subunit ribosomal RNA", at positions 511 to 788 of the family's 1533-position model. The record is from RNAcentral.
GCAGCCGCGGUAAUACGUAGGGGGCAAGCGUUAUCCGGAUUUACUGGGUGUAAAGGGAGCGUAGACGGUGUGGCAAGUCUGAUGUGAAAGGCAGGGGCUCAACUCCUGGACUGCAUUGGAAACUGUCAUACUUGAGUGCCGGAGGGGUAAGCGGAAUUCCUAGUGUAGCGGUGAAAUGCGUAGAUAUUAGGAGGAACACCAGUGGCGAAGGCGGCUUACUGGACGGUAACUGACGUUGAGGCUCGAAAGCGUGGGGAGCAAACAGGAUUAGAUACCCC